Molecule: microRNA precursor, 119 nt
Filed under: Marmota monax (woodchuck)
Lineage: Eukaryota; Metazoa; Chordata; Mammalia; Rodentia; Sciuridae
Source: RNAcentral
UAGGGUGACCAACUUUCUUGGUUUGCACAGGACUAUAGGGUUUCUGAGAUGCGUAACUUUUAGUGCUAAAACUAGGACAGUCCUAGGCAAACCAGGAAAAUUUGUCACUCUACUAAUAA